This 174-nucleotide ribosomal RNA is filed under the name uncultured bacterium. Its description in RNAcentral is "partial 16S ribosomal RNA". It matches the Rfam family "Bacterial small subunit ribosomal RNA", at positions 335 to 526 of the family's 1533-position model. The record is from RNAcentral.
ACUCCUACGGGAGGCAUCAGUGGGGAAUCUUGCACAAUGGAGGAAACUCUGAUGCAGCGAUGCCGCGUGAGUGAAGAAGGCCUUUGGGUUGUAAAGCUCUUUUGUAGGGGAAGAUAAUGACUGUACCCUAAGAAUAAGGUCCGGCUAACUUCGUGCCAGCAGCCGCGGUAAUAC